ACGUAGGGUGCAAGCGUUAAUCGGAAUUACUGGGCGUAAAGCGUGCGCAGGCGGUUGUGCAAGACAGAUGUGAAAUCCCCGGGCUCAACCUGGGAACUGCCUUUGUGACUGCAAGGCUGGAGUGCGGCAGAGGGGGAUGGAAUUCCGCGUGUAGCAGUGAAAUGCGUAGAUAUGCGGAGGAACACCGAUUGCGAAGGCAGCUCACUACGCGGGAUAUCGACACUGAGGCACGAAAGCGUGGGGAUCAAACAGGA
This 254-nucleotide ribosomal RNA is filed under the name uncultured prokaryote. RNAcentral describes it as "partial 16S ribosomal RNA". It matches the Rfam family "Bacterial small subunit ribosomal RNA", at positions 525 to 777 of the family's 1533-position model. The record is from RNAcentral.